CCUACGGGUGGCUGCAGUGGGGAAUAUUGGACAAUGGGGGGAACCCUGAUCCAGCCAUGCCGCGUGUGUGAAGAAGGCCCUCGGGUUGUAAAGCACUUUCAGUGAGGAAGAACGCCUGGUGGUUAAUACCCAUCAGGAAAGACAUCACUCACAGAAGAAGCACCGGCUAACUCCGUGCCAGCAGCCGCGGUAAUACGGAGGGUGCGAGCGUUAAUCGGAAUUACUGGGCGUAAAGCGCGCGUAGGUGGCUUGAUAAGCCGGUUGUGAAAGCCCCGGGCUCAACCUGGGAACGGCAUCCGGAACUGUCAAGCUAGAGUGCAGGAGAGGAAGGUAGAAUUCCCGGUGUAGCGGUGAAAUGCGUAGAGAUCGGGAGGAAUGCCAGUGGCGAAGGCGGCCUUCUGGACUGACACUGACACUGAGGUGCGAAAGCGUGGGUAGCAAACAGGAUUAGAUAUCCGUGUAGUC
RNAcentral lists this ribosomal RNA (465 nucleotides) under Vreelandella stevensii. RNAcentral's name for it is "partial 16S ribosomal RNA". It matches the Rfam family "Bacterial small subunit ribosomal RNA", at positions 338 to 795 of the family's 1533-position model. The record is from RNAcentral. Lineage: Bacteria; Pseudomonadati; Pseudomonadota; Gammaproteobacteria; Oceanospirillales; Halomonadaceae.